This 497-nucleotide ribosomal RNA is filed under the name uncultured bacterium. Its description in RNAcentral is "partial 16S ribosomal RNA". It matches the Rfam family "Bacterial small subunit ribosomal RNA", at positions 28 to 507 of the family's 1533-position model. The record is from RNAcentral.
GAUGAACGCUGGCGGCGUGCCUAAUACAUGCAAGUCGAGCGAACAGACGAGGAGCUUGCUCCUUUGACGUUAGCGGCGGACGGGUGAGUAACACGUGGGUAACCUACCUAUAAGACUGGGAUAACUUCGGGAAACCGGAGCUACUACCGGAUAAUAUUUCGAACCGCAUGGUUCGAUAGUGAAAGAUGGCUUUGCUAUCACUUAUAGAUGGACCUGCGCCGUAUUAGCUAGUUGGUAAGGUAACGGCUUACCAAGGCAACGAUACGUAGCCGACCUGAGAGGGUGAUCGGCCACACUGGAACUGAGACACGGUCCAGACUCCUACGGGAGGCAGCAGUAGGGAAUCUUCCGCAAUGGGCGAAAGCCUGACGGAGCAACGCCGCGUGAGUGAUGAAGGUCUUCGGAUCGUAAAACUCUGUUAUUAGGGAAGAACAAAAGUGUAAGUAACUGUGCACGUCUUGACGGUACCUAAUCAGAAAGCAACGGCUAACUACGUG